RNAcentral lists this long non-coding RNA (200 nucleotides) under Nicotiana benthamiana. Its description in RNAcentral is "long non-coding RNA (NBEN_LNC036356)". Lineage: Eukaryota; Viridiplantae; Streptophyta; Magnoliopsida; Solanales; Solanaceae. The record is from RNAcentral.
GAGAAUUCCUAUGAAUAAUAAAUAAAGCAAAUAAUAAAAGCCAUAUUCCACAAAAACAAAUUCUAUGAAGAAAUAGGGAAAAAGAGAAUUCAAGAGGCCCAUAAGUGUCAAAAUAAAGAUAAAGACGACUGCGCCAACUUGAUAUUUUGGUAUUAUCGCCACAAAGAAGAGCUUUCAGAUUUUCCAGAGAAGAUGGGAUC